This 65-nucleotide transfer RNA is filed under the name Aedes aegypti (yellow fever mosquito). It matches the Rfam family "tRNA". Rfam says of the family: Transfer RNA (tRNA) molecules are approximately 80 nucleotides in length. Their secondary structure includes four short double-helical elements and three loops (D, anti-codon, and T loops). The record is from Rfam by way of RNAcentral. Lineage: Eukaryota; Metazoa; Arthropoda; Insecta; Diptera; Culicidae.
CCGGUAGCUUAGUUGGUAAAGCGCUCGUCUAGCAUACAAGAGUCCUGGGUUCGAAUCCCAGCCGG